Molecule: ribosomal RNA, 421 nt
Filed under: uncultured Reichenbachiella sp.
Lineage: Bacteria; Pseudomonadati; Bacteroidota; Cytophagia; Cytophagales; Reichenbachiellaceae
Description: bacterial SSU rRNA
Rfam family: Bacterial small subunit ribosomal RNA
Source: RNAcentral
AGUAGGGAAUAUUGGUCAAUGGAGGAGACUCUGAACCAGCCAUGCCGCGUGCAGGAAGACGGCCUUCUGGGUUGUAAACUGCUUUUGACAGGGAAGAAAACGGCUAUGCGUAGCUAACUGACGGUACCUGUAGAAUAAGCACCGGCUAACUCCGUGCCAGCAGCCGCGGUAAUACGGAGGGUGCAAGCGUUGUCCGGAUUUAUUGGGUUUAAAGGGUACGUAGGUGGCCUUAUAAGUCAGUGGUGAAAUGCUGCAGCUUAACUGUAGCACUGCCAUUGAUACUGUAGGGCUUGAGUGUCGUUGAGGCAGGCGGAAUUUAUGGUGUAGCGGUGAAAUGCAUAGAUACCAUAAAGAACACCGAUAGCGAAGGCAGCUUGCUAAGCGACAACUGACACUAAUGUACGAAAGCGUGGGUAGCGAA